GAGGAGACGCAUCCAACAGUCCUACAAGGAGUCCAAGGCAUCUGCAGUCCAGUACAUUGUGGACUCACCCU
Molecule: long non-coding RNA, 71 nt
Filed under: Rhipicephalus microplus (southern cattle tick)
Lineage: Eukaryota; Metazoa; Arthropoda; Arachnida; Ixodida; Ixodidae
Description: uncharacterized LOC119169129, transcript variant X2
Source: RNAcentral